This 73-nucleotide transfer RNA is filed under the name Actinomycetota bacterium. Its description in RNAcentral is "Actinobacteria bacterium tRNA-Thr". It matches the Rfam family "tRNA". From Rfam's summary of the family: Transfer RNA (tRNA) molecules are approximately 80 nucleotides in length. Lineage: Bacteria; Bacillati; Actinomycetota. The record is from RNAcentral.
GCCGGAGUAGCUCAGCUGGUAGAGCAACCGAUUUGUAAUCGGUAGGUCGUGGGUUCGAGUCCCUCCUCCGGCU